AUUGAACGCUGGCGGCAGGCCUAACACAUGCAAGUCGAGCAGAUGAAGGGAGCUUGCUCCUGGAUUCAGCGGCGGACGGGUGAGUAAUGCCCAGGAAUCUGCCUGGUAGUGGGGGAUAACGUCCGGAAACGGGCGCUAAUACCGCAUACGUCCUGAGGGAGAAAGUGGGGGAUCUUCGGACCUCACGCUAUCAGAUGAGCCUAGGUCGGAUUAGCUAGUUGGUGGGGUAAAGGCCUACCAAGGCGACGAUCCGUAACUGGUCUGAGAGGAUGAUCAGUCACACUGGAACUGAGACACGGUCCAGACUCCUACGGGAGGCAGCAGUGGGGAAUAUUGGACAAUGGGCGAAAGCCUGAUCCAGCCAUGCCGCGUGUGUGAAGAAGGUCUUCGGAUUGUAAAGCACUUUAAGUUGGGAGGAAGGGCAGUAAGUUAAUACCUUGCUGUUUUGACGUUACCAACAGAAUAAGCACCGGCUAACUUCGUG
This 484-nucleotide ribosomal RNA is filed under the name uncultured bacterium. Its description in RNAcentral is "partial 16S ribosomal RNA". It matches the Rfam family "Bacterial small subunit ribosomal RNA", at positions 30 to 507 of the family's 1533-position model. The record is from RNAcentral.